RNAcentral lists this ribosomal RNA (253 nucleotides) under uncultured prokaryote. RNAcentral describes it as "partial 16S ribosomal RNA". It matches the Rfam family "Bacterial small subunit ribosomal RNA", at positions 524 to 776 of the family's 1533-position model. The record is from RNAcentral.
UACGUAGGGUGCGAGCGUUGUCCGGAAUUAUUGGGCGUAAAGAGCUCGUAGGCGGUUUGUCGCGUCGGCCGUGAAAACUGGAGGCUUAACUUCCAGCUUGCGGUCGAUACGGGCAGACUUGAGUUCGGUAGGGGAGUCUGGAAUUCCUGGUGUAGCGGUGAAAUGCGCAGAUAUCAGGAGGAACACCGGUGGCGAAGGCGGGACUCUGGGCCGAUACUGACGCUGAGGAGCGAAAGCGUGGGGAGCGAACAGG